GACGAACGCUGGCGGCGUGCUUAACACAUGCAAGUCGAACGGAAAGGCCUGCUUUCCCUUGUGGAUUGCGGGUACUCGAGUGGCGAACGGGUGAGUAACACGUGAGUGAUCUGCCCCCAACUUGGGUAUAAGCCUGGGAUACUGGGUCUAAUUCCCGAUAGGACUGCAGGGUGGUGCCUGUGGUGGAAAACGAUUUUCUAGUGGUUGGGGAUGAGCUCGCGGCCUAUCAGCUUGUUGGUGGGGUAAUGGCCUACCAAGGCGGCGACGGGUAGCCGGCCUGGGGGAGUGGACGGCCGCAUUGGGACGGAGAUACGGCCCAGGCGCCAACGGGAAGCAGCAGUGGGGAAGAAUGCGCAGGGGGCGGAGGCCUGAGGCAGCGACGCCGCGUGGGGGAUGACGGCCUUCGGAUUGUAAACUCCUUUCGACCGCGAGGAAGCCACCUGGUUGGAAGGGUGGUGACGGUAGUGGUAGAAGAAGCACCGGCUAACUACGUG
Molecule: ribosomal RNA, 494 nt
Filed under: uncultured bacterium
Lineage: Bacteria
Description: partial 16S ribosomal RNA
Rfam family: Bacterial small subunit ribosomal RNA
Source: RNAcentral